ACGGUGAAGCCAAGCUUGCUUGGUGGAUCAGUGGCGAACGGGUGAGUAACACGUGAGCAACCUGCCCUGGACUCUGGGAUAAGCGCUGGAAACGGCGUCUAAUACUGGAUAUGAGACGUGAUCGCAUGGUCGUGUUUGGAAAGAUUUUUCGGUCUGGGAUGGGCUCGCGGCCUAUCAGCUUGUUGGUGAGGUAAUGGCUCACCAAGGCGUCSACGGGUAGCCGGCCUGAGAGGGUGACCGGCCACACUGGGACUGAGACACGGCCCAGACUCCUACGGGAGGCAGCAGUGGGGAAUAUUGCACAAUGGGCGAAAGCCUGAUGCAGCAACGCCGCGUGAGGGAUGACGGCCUUCGGGUUGUAAACCUCUUUUAGCAGGGAAGAAGCGAAAGUGACGGUACCUGCAGAAAAAGCGCCGGCUAACUACGUGCCAGCAGCCGCGGUAAUACGUAGGGCGCAAGCGUUAUCCGGAAUUAUUGGGCGUAAAGAGCUCGUAGGCGGUUUGUCGCGUCUGCUGUGAAAUCCCGAGGCUCAACCUCGGGCCUGCAGUGGGUACGGGCAGACUAGAGUGCGGUAGGGGAGAUUGGAAUUCCUGGUGUAGCGGUGGAAUGCGCAGAUAUCAGGAGGAACACCGAUGGCGAAGGCAGAUCUCUGGGCCGUAACUGACGCUGAGGAGCGAAAGGGUGGGGAGCAAACAGGCUUAGAUACCCUGGUAGUCCACCCCGUAAACGUUGGGAACUAGUUGUGGGGACCAUUCCACGGUUUCCGUGACGCAGCUAACGCAUUAAGUUCCCCGCCUGGGGAGUACGGCCGCAAGGCUAAAACUCAMAGGAAKUUGACGGGGACCCGCWCAAGCGGCGGAGCAUGCGGAUUAAUUCGAUGCWWCGCGAAGAACCUUACCAAGGCUUGACAUAUACKAKAACGGGCCMGAAAUGGUCACUCUUUGGAYACUCGUAAACAUGUGGUGGCAUGGUUGUCGUCAKCUCGUGUYSUGAGAUGUUGGGKUWAGUCCCGCAACGAGCGCAACCCUCGWUCYAUGUGGCCAGCSCGUAAUGMUGGCAACYAWUGGGAUAMUUGCMGGRGKCACGCUCSGAGGAAGGURGGGAUGACGUSAAUCAUCAUGACYCGUACGGCUCGSCUCACGCRKGCUUCACKGCGUMCAAGGCUGCAWCCGUGMGGUGACGAAUCGAAGCCGAUCAAUCGGAAUGAGUCGCAUCAKGACCACYUAGYGAGA
This 1232-nucleotide ribosomal RNA is filed under the name Microbacterium sp. RNAcentral describes it as "partial 16S ribosomal RNA". It matches the Rfam family "Bacterial small subunit ribosomal RNA", at positions 66 to 1330 of the family's 1533-position model. Lineage: Bacteria; Bacillati; Actinomycetota; Actinomycetes; Micrococcales; Microbacteriaceae. The record is from RNAcentral.